Molecule: long non-coding RNA, 1334 nt
Organism: Cyprinus carpio (common carp)
Lineage: Eukaryota; Metazoa; Chordata; Actinopteri; Cypriniformes; Cyprinidae
Source: Ensembl
AGCACACAUUUGUUUAAUUCUUUGUAAUUAAUUAUAAUCAUGAUCGUCGUUGUUUCACCACAUGGUUCCUACUGAGCCAAAAUAUUCCUAUAAAACAAUGGUAUGGGAUGCACUACGUGGCGUACACUACCUCUCUCGUGCUUUCUGUGUGCUACUGACAGACAUCUAUUUCCAGUUUUCAACACUGUUGUUGGUUAGACUUGUAAUUGUCAUUUUAAAACCUGUAUGACUUUGUUUCUUCAGUUGAACACAAAAAGAAAUGCAGAAAGCUGCUUUUUUCUGACCACUAAAGUGAACAAUGAUUCAUAAAGUUGAGGUCCAGUUGUAGUCUGUAUGAGGUCAUACAAUAUCUGACCAGAAAGUCACCAUUAUCUUUCCCUCUGCUGUAGUUUUCCAACAACAUGGAGACCUCAUUGGCUCUUGCACAUCAAGCUAGCACGUUUGAGCUUGUUUACCAUAUUUGAUGUGCUAUAUGUAUGUACACUGAACAAUGUUUAUAUGUGGAAAAAAGCCUAAAUUAAAUCUAUUCAUUUUAUAAAAUGAUAUUGAAAAGUGUAUCUCCAGAAGACUUGGAUUAAAUCGCUUGGUUCAUAUGGAUUACUUUUAGAAUGUCUUUAUGAACAUUUUAACACGUCAAAGAUCUGGUUAUGUUGAAUUUCCCAAAUUUGGGACAGAAAUCUCUCAGGUUUCAUUAAAAAUGUUUUAGUUUGUGUUUUCAAACAUCUUAUGGGUUUGGAACGACAUUAUUAUGAGAAAAUAAUGAUGGAAUUGUAAUUUUUGAGAGUACUGUCCAUUUAAAUUUCAGUCUUUUCUUCACACAAAGGCUUCAGAAUACAGCACACAAGUUGUAUGCAGUAUUUUGCGAUUGCUUUUAAUAUUUUCAUUUUAUGGAAAUGAGCAGCUUUGACAUUCUGCAAAAUAUCUAUUUUUGUUAUUCAAUUCAGAUAGAAAGUCAUACAGAUUUGGAAUGACAUAAUGAGUGGUAAAUUAUGUCACAAUUUAGUCCAGUCUGUUAAUUGUGAGAUUUCUGUCUCAGGUCAGUAUUGGUCAUCACUGAAGCCGUUGAUGGGCACAGUGGGGCAGUCGUUUCUGGGUGCCCAGAGGAAAGACUGUGAGGAAACGGACACAGUGAAUGCGAUGGCGUCCCUCUCCGUGGGGGUCUUGACCAACAAAAGCCUUGUUGAUGAACCCAUGGAGCACGACGAAGACUCCCUUUAAACCAGGUCUUUACACGUCUGAAAACUGUCCAGUACCAAAUGGCGCUCCACAACAUGUGAACGAGCCGUGCCUCAAGACCAGCAGUGCCUCAGGGGGCGUGGCUUCCUCAUCACGGC